CCUACGGGUGGCAGCAGUGAGGAAUAUUGGUCAAUGGCCGGAAGGCUGAACCAGCCAAGUAGCGUGAAGGAAGAAGGAUCUAUGGGUUGUAAACUUCGUUUAUAGGGGAAUAAAGGGAUGCACGUGUGGAUAUUUGCAUGUACCCUAUGAAUAAGCAUCGGCUAACUCCGUGCCAGCAGCCGCGGUAAUACGGAGGGUGCGAGCGUUAUCCGGAUUUAUUGGGUUGAAAGGGUGCGUAGGUGGUUUUUUAAGGAAGCGGUGAAAGUUUGUGGCUCAACCCUAAAAUUGCCGUUGAAACUGGCAGCCUUGAGUGUGUUUGAGGUCGGCGGACUGCGUGGUGUAGCGG
RNAcentral lists this ribosomal RNA (346 nucleotides) under uncultured bacterium. RNAcentral's name for it is "partial 16S ribosomal RNA". It matches the Rfam family "Bacterial small subunit ribosomal RNA", at positions 338 to 681 of the family's 1533-position model. The record is from RNAcentral.